UUUGAUCCUGGCUCAGGAUGAACGCUAGCUACAGGCUUAACACAUGCAAGUCGAGGGGCAGCAUGGUCUUAGCUUGCUAAGGCCGAUGGCGACCGGCGCACGGGUGAGUAACACGUAUCCAACCUGCCGUCUACUCUUGGACAGCCUUCUGAAAGGAAGAUUAAUACAAGAUGGCAUCAUGAGUCCGCAUGUUCACAUGAUUAAAGGUAUUCCGGUAGACGAUGGGGAUGCGUUCCAUUAGAUAGUAGGCGGGGUAACGGCCCACCUAGUCUUCGAUGGAUAGGGGUUCUGAGAGGAAGGUCCCCCACAUUGGAACUGAGACACGGUCCAAACUCCUACGGGAGGCAGCAGUGAGGAAUAUUGGUCAAUGGGCGAGAGCCUGAACCAGCCAAGUAGCGUGAAGGAUGACUGCCCUAUGGGUUGUAAACUUCUUUUAUUAAAGGAAUAAAGUCGGGUAUGGAUACCCGUUUGCAUGUACUUUAUGAAUAAGGAUCGGCUAACUCCGUGCCAGCAGCCGCGGUAAUACGGAGGAUCCGAGCGUUAUCCGGAUUUAUUGGGUUUAAAGGGAGCGUAGAUGGAUGUUUAAGUCAGUUGUGAAAGUUUGCGGCUCAACCGUAUAAUUGCAGUUGAUACUGGAUAUCUUGAGUGCAGUUGAGGCAGGCGGAAUUGGUGGUGUAGCGGUGAAAUGCUUAGAUAUCACGAAGAACUCCGAUUGGGAAGGCAGCCUGCUAAGCUGCAACUGACAUUGAGGCUCGAAAGGGUGGGUAUCAAACAGGAUUAGAUACCCUGGUAGUCCCACACGGUAAACGAUGAAUACUCGCUGUUUGCGAUAUACGGCAAGCGGCCAAGCGAAAGCGUUAAGUAUUCCACCUGGGGAGUACGCCGGCAACGGUGAAACUCAAAGGAAUUGACGGGGGCCCGCACAAGCGGAGGAACAUGUGGUUUAAUUCGAUGAUACGCGAGGAACCUUACCCGGGCUUAAAUUGCAGAUGAAUUACGGUGAAAGCCGUAAGCCGCAAGGCAUCUGUGAAGGUGCUGCAUGGUUGUCGUCAGCUCGUGCCGUGAGGUGUCGGCUUAAGUGCCAUAACGAGCGCAACCCUUGUUGUCAGUUACUAACAGGUCAUGCUGAGGACUCUGACAAGACUGCCAUCGUAAGAUGUGAGGAAGGUGGGGAUGACGUCAAAUCAGCACGGCCCUUACGUCCGGGGCUACACACGUGUUACAAUGGGGGGUACAGAGGGCCGCUACCACGCGAGUGGAUGCCAAUCCCAAAAACCUCUCUCAGUUCGGACUGGAGUCUGCAACCCGACUCCACGAAGCUGGAUUCGCUAGUAAUCGCGCAUCAGCCACGGCGCGGUGAAUACGUUCCCGGGCCUUGCACUCACCGCCCGUCAAG
RNAcentral lists this ribosomal RNA (1396 nucleotides) under uncultured bacterium. Its description in RNAcentral is "bacterial SSU rRNA". It matches the Rfam family "Bacterial small subunit ribosomal RNA". The record is from RNAcentral.